ACCUCUGGGUCUCAGCUUCAUCAGAGGUAAGCGGAUCAUAAAAUUAUUUACCUCUUUUGGCUGUUGUGAAGAUGAAAUGCAUGUUCCAUUCUCAGCUGUCUCUAACUAACCAACAUGCCGUUGCUAUUAACGUCAUCCUGCAGCUGCAGGACUAUCUUUAAAUCUAGUUUGUUUAGAGGCGUCCGUAGCCACCAAAACCAUUAUUCUCUUUCUGUGACCACCUCUCCCCCUGCAGCCUCCUUCCCCAGCCCAGCCUGGAGGCCUGGCCACAGCCGUUGUCAUGGCAGCCGUUGGCUACAGGUCCUGCUGGGGUCAGACAGUUUUGCUGAGACAUUCCGAGUAAACUCCUUUUUGGUCAGGGUGGCUGGAGUCCCUAGGCCUGAAGUCAGGACACAUAAAACCCCUCUUUCCUUGUGAUCUCGAAGGUCCUCUAAGCCUGGCUUCAGCGAAGCCCUGGAGGGGAGUCAGUAGGAAGUGUUAGCUAACUUGAAGGCGAUUACUAAAGCCCAAAGACCUUAAAAGUUAGAAAAAGGCAAAGGACGCAAACGCCAUGUCUUAAAAUAGCUUUUUUGUUUUGUCGGAACAGCUACAGAAUUGUUAAGCCAACCACUUCUUGGAGGGGAAGGAGGUUUGGGGCCAAACACACAUUUCAGGGAAAAUAGCGGAAAAACAAUGGUUGAAAACGCUUUAUAUUUUUAAACAAGUGGUUUUACAUCUUUCGUGCUAAUUUCAUAACCACAGAUGGGAGGUAGGGGUGGACCUGAACCUUUUUACAUUCACAGAUGAUUUCUGAUAUUUCUAAUUAAUUUCUCCCCUUGGAUACCGUAAUUUUGGUAAAUCACAACGCAGUGCUUAACCGGUGCCUGGCUGAACUAGCUCACUGUCAAGGCUGUCUGGAUUAAUUUGCUGUUACAAUGUUUGUUUUCUUUAUAAAAAAAAUUCUAAUUAACAACAACAAAAAAAUAGGUCAACAAGCCAGUAAAUAUUUAAACAAGUGUCACGUUCUAUUUGAAAAGUUGUCUGGGAAGAGCUGGCAAUUUAUGAAUAAAUUACAGAUAGCAAACCCUCUCCUUGGACUUCCGGUUUUAAUCAGCUAUCUGGGCCUUUCUGGAAUGCAGGCUCUGUGAUUUGAUUUCAUGUCCCCCCCAACCCCUCCCCCUCUUCUAAAACUGGUGUGUGGCAAGGAAUUUCUUCCAGUCAAGUGAAAUGAAUUUGCAUUCAUUUGUUUUAUUAAACUGGAGAAGGUCUCCCUAAUCUUAAGCUAUUCAGAAAUCUGCUCCACCUGGCUUUGAGGGGCUUGCAAAACCAGCCAUAAUGAUCUCUGUGGAAAUGAAUCUGACUAGGAGUCAUGAGGUUGCCAGUUCGAUCCCUGAUCCCUGGCCUCGCUCAGUGGGUUAAGGAUCCAGUAUUGCCAUGAGCUGUGGUAUAGGUCGCAGAUGUGUCUUGGAUCUGGCAUUGCUGUGGCUCUGGCAUAGGCCAGCAGCUACAGCUCUGAUUCAACCCCUAGCCUGGGAGCCUCCAUACACCACAGGUGCGGCCCUAAAAAGACAAAAAAC
RNAcentral lists this long non-coding RNA (1556 nucleotides) under Sus scrofa (pig). RNAcentral describes it as "lncRNA (ENSSSCG00000058362.1)". The record is from RNAcentral. Lineage: Eukaryota; Metazoa; Chordata; Mammalia; Artiodactyla; Suidae.